GAUGAACGCUGGCGGCGUGCCUAAUACAUGCAAGUCGAGCGAACGGACGAGAAGCUUGCUUCUCUGAUGUUAGCGGCGGACGGGUGAGUAACACGUGGAUAACCUACCUAUAAGACUGGGAUAACUUCGGGAAACCGGAGCUAAUACCGGAUAAUAUUUUGAACCGCAUGGUUCAAAAGUGAAAGACGGUCUUGCUGUCACUUCUAGAUGGAUCCGCGCUGCAUUAGCUAGUUGGUAAGGUAACGGCUUACCAAGGCAACGAUGCAUAGCCGACCUGAGAGGGUGGUCGGCCACACUGGAACUGAGACACGGUCCAGACUCCUACGGGAGGCAGCAGUAGGGAAUCUUCCGCAAUGGGCGAAAGCCUGACGGAGCAACGCCGCGUGAGUGAUGAAGGUCUUCGGAUCGUAAAACUCUGUUAUUAGGGAAGAACAUAUGUGUAAGUAACUGUGCACAUCUUGACGGUACCUAAUCAGAAAGCCACGGCUAACUACGUG
This 497-nucleotide ribosomal RNA is filed under the name uncultured bacterium. RNAcentral's name for it is "partial 16S ribosomal RNA". It matches the Rfam family "Bacterial small subunit ribosomal RNA", at positions 28 to 507 of the family's 1533-position model. The record is from RNAcentral.